Saccostrea echinata is the source of this 914-nucleotide long non-coding RNA. RefSeq lists it as uncharacterized. The record is from RefSeq and is a predicted model, not a curated record. The transcript is spliced from 6 exons. NCBI's taxonomy places the organism in Eukaryota, Metazoa, Mollusca, Bivalvia, Ostreida, Ostreidae.
AUAUCUACAUAUGUAGAUUAGAAACUUUCGGUCGGGUUCAGUUUAAUUUUGAUCGGGUUAGUUAAUACAUUGUUGAGUCUUUUGAUCAGCAUGGACAUGGUUUGAUGUGUGUUCGGUACCACAUAACAUGCGAGAAUACCUUCUCCGGUAUGUUGGAGAGAAGAUUAGCAAGAAAAAAUCGCGUGAGAAAAUGAGAAGUUGACAGAAAAAGAUUUUUUUCAUUAUCGAAAGGGACAUGUACAACAUCCAUAAUGGUGUGUCUGAUGGAAUUUGUCAUUUCAUUAAUAAAAAAUGCUGAUAAAGAUGCAAACUUAGCAAUUGUGCCUAAAAAGUGACAGCUUUGACAAAGAAAUAUAUCCAUAUAUAACAGUUACUGGUACUGUAUGAAUGCAGUGAAAGGAUCCAGAUGAACAAAUGAAGAGAUUAAGUACAAUGUACAUCAAUUACUUGGAUGAAGAGAAUCUGCAACAUGGGGAAAUAAUGUUCCUAUAGAAAAGUCAAAGAAUGUAUACAUGUGAGAUUCUGAAGUAGCCGUACAUGAUGAGUAGGAAUUUGAAGUGAAUUAUGGGAAAAGUGAAAUGGUAAAAAAGAAACUGCUAGCGCUACUGUGCAGACUACCAUCAAUCAACAUGAUCAACAAAAUCAAGUAAUCCUUCUGAAGAUGGAGUAGUACACAAGCACAAUUUUUUAAAGAAAGAAAAGUCAAUGGAAUGAAGAAAAGGUGAAGUGAAUUGUCACUCAUUAUAUUUUAAAUUUAAUGUGGACAUGGUCAUUAUUUUAGUUAUGUCAUAACCUUCUUAUCAAUUUUAAGCAGUGCAGACAGAUGCAUUUCUUAUUGCUUUGAAUAGAAUAAAUUAUCAAAAAAGUUUGUAUAUGUUUUUUGAUAUAGAAUUUAUAUUAAAAAAAAAAUUAUC